RNAcentral lists this ribosomal RNA (495 nucleotides) under uncultured bacterium. RNAcentral describes it as "partial 16S ribosomal RNA". It matches the Rfam family "Bacterial small subunit ribosomal RNA", at positions 30 to 507 of the family's 1533-position model. The record is from RNAcentral.
UGAACGCUGGCGGCGUGCCUACUACAUGCAAGUCGAGCGAACGGACGAGAAGCUUGCUUCUCUGAUGUUAGCGGCGGACGGGUGAGUAACACGUGGAUAACCUACCUAUAAGACUGGGAUAACUUCGGGAAACCGGAGCUAAUACCGGAUAAUAUUUUGAACCGCAUGGUUCAAAAGUGAAAGACGGUCUUGCUGUCACUUAUAGAUGGAUCCGCGCUGCAGUAGCUAGUUGGUAAGGUAACGGCUUACCAAGGCAACGAUGCAUAGCCGACCUGAGAGGGUGAUCGGCCACACUGGAACUGAGACACGGUCCAGACUCCUACGGGAGGCAGCAGUAGGGAAUCUUCCGCAAUGGGCGAAAGCCUGACGGAGCAACGCCGCGUGAGUGAUGAAGGUCUUCGGAUCGUAAAACUCUGUUAUUAGGGAAGAACAUAUGUGUAAGUAACUGUGCACAUCUUGACGGUACCUAAUCAGAAAGCCACGGCUAACUACGUG